GACGAACGCUGGCGGCGUGCCUAAUACAUGCAAGUAGAACGCACAGUUUAUACCGUAGCUUGCUACACCAUAGACUGUGAGUUGCGAACGGGUGAGUAACGCGUAGGUAACCUGCCUGGUAGCGGGGGAUAACUAUUGGAAACGAUAGCUAAUACCGCAUAAUAUUAAUUAUUGCAUGAUAAUUGAUUGAAAGAUGCAACUGCAUCACUACCAGAUGGACCUGCGUUGUAUUAGCUAGUAGGUGAGGUAACGGCUCACCUAGGCGACGAUACAUAGCCGACCUGAGAGGGUGAUCGGCCACACUGGGACUGAGACACGGCCCAGACUCCUACGGGAGGCAGCAGUAGGGAAUCUUCGGCAAUGGACGAAAGUCUGACCGAGCAACGCCGCGUGAGUGAAGAAGGUUUUCGGAUCGUAAAGCUCUGUUGUAAGAGAAGAACGGGUGUGAGAGUGGAAAGUUCACACUGUGACGGUAUCUACCA
RNAcentral lists this ribosomal RNA (482 nucleotides) under Streptococcus gordonii. RNAcentral describes it as "bacterial SSU rRNA". It matches the Rfam family "Bacterial small subunit ribosomal RNA", at positions 28 to 485 of the family's 1533-position model. The record is from RNAcentral. Lineage: Bacteria; Bacillati; Bacillota; Bacilli; Lactobacillales; Streptococcaceae.